AUGACUAGAGAUAACCUUAGGAAAAGGCAUAUCAUUAAACCUCUAGAUUGUGUGUUCUGCUCUAAAGUUGAAUCUGUCGAACACUUGUUUUUUGAUUGUGUAGUAGCUAGAUAUGUGUGGGCAAUUUUAGGGGGGCAUUUCAACAUAAAUUUUGGGUCCGAUUACAUGUCCAUUGCCAUGUUUUGGCUAUCUAACAAGCAGAAAUCUGACCUUAAUGCAGCAUGUGCAGCUGCUCUAUGGUAUCUGUGGAAAAUUAGAAAUUCCACGAUAUUUAACAAUACCACAUGGACUUCUGUAAAACAUGUUAUUGGGAAGAUUCACAACUUGGUCAAGAUUUGGGCGAUCUUGUCCACAGAUCAAUGGAAGAAAAGUUUGGAGGGCUUCUCAACCUUCCUCGGGGUGAAAAUGAGGACUGCAUUGGUCAUCAGAAGUGGAUGA
This 438-nucleotide ribosomal RNA is filed under the name Triticum aestivum (bread wheat). Its description in RNAcentral is "partial small subunit ribosomal RNA". The record is from RNAcentral. Lineage: Eukaryota; Viridiplantae; Streptophyta; Magnoliopsida; Poales; Poaceae.